Molecule: ribosomal RNA, 972 nt
Filed under: bacterium enrichment culture clone B4117
Lineage: Bacteria
Description: bacterial SSU rRNA
Rfam family: Bacterial small subunit ribosomal RNA
Source: RNAcentral
AGAGUUUGAUCAUGGCUCAGGACGAACGCUGGCGGCGUGGAUUAGGCAUGCAAGUCGAACGGUAUAAACCUUUCGGGGUUUAGAGAGUGGCGAACGGGUGAGUAACACGUAGGUAAUCUACCCUCAAAACGGGGACAACCCAGGGAAACUUGGGCUAAUACCGGAUGCGUGCAAGCAAUGUUUUGGCUGUUAAUGCUAUUCACGGAAGUGAGUAGUGUUAAUGGUUGAGAGCAUUAUUUGCAUAAAAGGUGGCAUAUGCUGCCGUUUGAGGGUGAGCCUGCAUCCUAUUAGUUAGUUGGUGAGGUAAUGGCUUACCAAGGCGAUGAUAGGUAGGCGGCCUUAACGGGUGGUCGCCCACACUGGGAUUGAGAGACGGCCCAGACUCCUACGGGAGGCAGCAGUCGAGAAUAGUCUACAAUGGACGGAAGUCUGAUAGUGCGACGCCGCGUGAACGAAGAAUCCCUUCGGGGUGUAAAGUUCUUUUAUACGUGAGCAGUGCCCUUUAUAUGAAUAGUAUAGAGGGAGGGAUUUAAGCGUAUGAAUAAGCAACGGCUAACUCCGUGCCAGCAGCCGCGGUAACACGGGGGUUGCAAGCGUUGUCCGGAAUUACUAGGCGUAAAGUGCAGGUAGGCGGAUAGAUAAGUUUAAGGUUAAAGGCUACGGCUUACCCGUAGUAAGGCGUUAGAUACUGUUUAUCUGGAAUGCGGUUGAGGGAGACAGAAUUCCUGGUGUAGCGGUGGAAUGCGCAGAGAUCAGGAGGAAUACCGAAGGCGAAAGCAGUCUUCUAAGCCGAUAUUGACGCUAAACUGCGAAGGUGUGGGGAUCAAACAGGAUUAGAUACCCUGGUAGUCCACACAGUAAACGAUAAUCACUAGGUGUUGGGUUCGUAUAGGACUCGGUGCCGGAGCUAACGCGAUAAGUGAUUCGCCUGGGGAGUACGAUCGCAAGGUUGAAACUCAAAUGAAUUGACGG